AAUCAGUGCAUCAAACACUUUCACAACAACUCCUUAAAUCGCUCCCAUGCUUCAUAUAAAUUUUCACCUUCUAGUUGCUUGAAGGAGGUAAAGUCAUUCCUCAGCUU
Small nucleolar RNA from Hibiscus syriacus, 107 nucleotides. NCBI's taxonomy places the organism in Eukaryota, Viridiplantae, Streptophyta, Magnoliopsida, Malvales, Malvaceae. The record is from RefSeq and is a predicted model, not a curated record.